This 1191-nucleotide ribosomal RNA is filed under the name uncultured fungus. RNAcentral's name for it is "eukaryotic LSU rRNA". The stretch from base 560 to 1191 matches the Rfam family "Eukaryotic large subunit ribosomal RNA", at positions 1 to 649 of the family's 3401-position model. Lineage: Eukaryota; Fungi. The record is from RNAcentral.
AGUCGUAACAAGGUUUCCGUAGGUGAACCUGCGGAAGGAUCAUUACAGCGUUUGGGUCCCCUCGGGGGCCCGACCACCCACCCUUUGCAGUACAAACGAAACGUUGCUUUGGCGGGCCGGCCCUCCGGCCGCCGGACCCCUCUCGGGGUCUGGACAGCGCCCGCCAGAGGACCAAAAAACACAAGCCUUUGAACGAUCGUCAGAGUUUUAAUACAAUAAAUCAAAACUUUCAACAACGGAUCUCUUGGUUCUGGCAUCGAUGAAGAACGCAGCGAAAUGCGAUAAGUAAUGUGAAUUGCAGAAUUCAGUGAAUCAUCGAAUCUUUGAACGCACAUUGCGCCCCCUGGCAUUCCGGGGGGCAUGCCUGUUCGAGCGUCAUUACAACCCUCAAGCCCAGCUUGGUCAUGGGCCCCUCGUCGCCUGUCCGCAGGCGGCGUGCCCCAAAACAGUCGGCAGGACCUCGUGUACCGCCGGGCGUAGCAGAUUGUAACGUCCGUGGCGAACGCGAACCGCGCCGUGAAAACCAGGGGGGAGUCAAAUCCCUCCGACCCACACAGGUUGACCUCGGAUCAGGUAGGGAUACCCGCUGAACUUAAGCAUAUCAAUAAGCGGAGGAAAGGAAACCAACAGGGAUUGCCCUAGUAACGGCGAGUGAAGCGGCAAGAGCUCAAAUUUGAAAUCUGGCCUCCAUUGGGGGUCCGAGUUGUAAUUUGUAGAGGAUGCUUUUGGGUUGCGGCCGGUCUAAGUUCCUUGGAACAGGACGUCACAGAGGGUGAGAAUCCCGUACGUGAUCGGCAAGCGCCCUCCGUAAAGCUCCUUCGACGAGUCGGGUUGUUUGGGAAUGCAGCCCUAAAUUGGAGGUAAAUUUCUUCUAAAGCUAAAUACCGGCCAGAGACCGAUAGCGCACAAGUAGAGUGAUCGAAAGAUGAAAAGCACUUUGGAAAGAGAGUUAAAAAGCACGUGAAAUUGUUGAAAGGGAAGCGCUUGCGAUAAGUCUCGACGGCGGCCGUUCCCCUCGUCUUCUGACGGGGUCACUUGGUCGCCGCCGGGCCAGCAUCGGUUCUGGCGGUCGGACAAAGGUCGCGGGAACGUGGCUCCCUCGGGAGUGUUAUAGCCCGCGACGUAAUACGACCAGCCGGGACCGAGGUCCGCGCUUCGGCUAGGAUGCUGGCGUAAUUGUCGUAAGCGGCC